Molecule: unclassified non-coding RNA, 200 nt
Filed under: soil metagenome
Description: partial contains internal transcribed spacer 2 and large subunit ribosomal RNA
Source: RNAcentral
CGUUGUACUACUAAGGCUCAGCCUUGCGGUGAUCGACGCCCCUCCUGUCUUUCUGGAGGGGUGCGGUCGAAACCCAUGGGCGCGUCCUCUCAGGUCGUCCAGCGUAGCAAGUCUCUCGCUGAAUGUUCGCCGAGAGAGGGAGCGCCAGUACUCAACGAACGCUUGGCCUCGAAUCAGGUAGGGAUACCCGCUGAACUUAA